GCUGGCGGCGUGCCUAACACAUGCAAGUCGAACAGAGAAAGUGGAGCUUGCUUCACAAGUACAGUGGCAGACGGGUGAGUAACACGUGAACAACCUACCCUCGAGUGGGGAAUAACACCGCGAAAGCGGUGCUAAUACCGCAUAAUAUCUCUGAAUCGCAUGGUUUUGAGAUCAAAAGCUUCGGUUGCUUGAGGAGGGGUUCGCGCCUGAUUAGCUUGUUGGUGAGGUAACGGCUCACCAAG
This 242-nucleotide ribosomal RNA is filed under the name uncultured bacterium. Its description in RNAcentral is "partial 16S ribosomal RNA". It matches the Rfam family "Bacterial small subunit ribosomal RNA", at positions 35 to 272 of the family's 1533-position model. The record is from RNAcentral.